Molecule: long non-coding RNA, 689 nt
Filed under: Salvator merianae (Argentine black and white tegu)
Lineage: Eukaryota; Metazoa; Chordata; Lepidosauria; Squamata; Teiidae
Description: lncRNA (ENSSMRG00000013769.1)
Source: RNAcentral
GGUUAAGAGAAAAUCGCUGCCGGACGCGAGAAACAGUGCAACCUCUCCCAGGCGCUGCUGGAGGGAAAACGUCAUACGCAAUGCCCCUGAGCCCGCGAAAGGAAGACAGCGGGGCUUAAACCUGCCCUACCUUCGUAUCUCGGGGCUACUAAUUCCCCCCGCAAAGUUUCCUAUCCCCAAUGAAGCGGAAGGGAGGACCGACCGCUGGCUGUUGGAACAGGGGCAGGCGUCUCGGAGCCAAAGAAAGCUCGCUGCCUUGGCAGAAUCAUCUCCGUUGGGGGCAGGUAGGGAGCGACCACAGGAAACCUGUUCCAAAGCCCUGCAGAUACCUCGGCAAGCCGCAGAAUCGAAGGAGGGACAGGGGGCACUGUCUGAACAGCGCACGGGAAAUGGGGUACAGCUGAAAUCAGGGUGGUGGUGGUGGUGGGCGCACCGGCAGAAAACCAGUGCCAGGAUGCUUCUGGCGAAAGAAGGAAGAGGCUUAUGUGUGUGUGAACAGAACGCUGCCACUGCAUCCUUCGCUUUUCCCAGCACCACCGGGUGGCACCGUGGGGGUGCAGCAAGGGUUGAGUGGGAAAAUGCACCCUCUUUUUUUCACAACCCACCCUCUCUCUCUUUCCUCCCUCCUGCUUGGCUCCUGCCCACCCCCACGCCAGGGCAAUCUUGAAAAAGACAAAUAAACGCCGCGA